UCAAUACAGCCGUCACAGGUGUGGGUGGGGGGAUUGACUAGGCUUGACUAGAGUAUCCUCUCUCUCUCCCUCACUCUCUCUCUCCUCUUAUCCAUAGAAACAAAAGGGGGCCUUUCUCUCUCUCCCUUAUCCACAGAAGAAAAGGGGACCGGGCGGCGGAGGACUCGACGGCCCUCGGGAGAGGCGGCGGUGGCGGUGGGCGGCGGCUCAGCGGCGCGUGGCGGCGGCGCUGGUGCGAAGGCGAAGCGGCGAGGUGGUGCGGCGGCGCUAGGCGGCCAGCGGUGGCGGCGGUACCCCCAUCCUCCUCCCCCUUCUCUUAUUUCUCGAUCUGGUGCGUGGCGGCAGUGAGGAGGGCUCGACGGCGUGCGGACGCGGUCGCCUCCUAGAGGUCAUGGUUGACCGGAUUCGGUGGCGGCCUCCGACUCCACACGCGAGCACCGGCCGUCGUCCUCACCGUUUCGAGCACCGAUCGCCACCACCGCCGUUGAGGUUGGGGGACACUGGAUCCAGCCUCCUAGAGGUCAGGGGACGCCGGAUCCGGUCAACCCCGACCUCUAGGAGGCGACCGUGUCCGCGCCGGACAGCCUUCUCUUCCGUCCCCAAGCGCCCUCCUCCUCCAUCCUCUUGCGGCCACCGCCGUAGCUUCCUCCUCCGGAUUAAUCCACUCCCAAGUACUGAUCAAUGUGUUUAUGUGCUUACGAUUUUGUUUCAGAUGUUGCAAGUCAUCGAUUACAAGUUUCUGAAUCGGGUGUGGUCUUGUUGAAGCCCCAUGAUGUGUUGCCAAUGGAGAUUAAUUGAUUCUAGAAGAAGACCUUUGAACUUUUGUCUUGUUUUUCUUGAAGAUACUAGAGAUGUUUUUAUUGUGAUGUAGCUAGAAAAUUAGAAUCUUAACAUUUUCCCUGAAAUGCAGUGUCUCAAACCUUGUAGUUUCCCAGUAGUUUUUAGUUUUGUAGUUUGUUUUUCGGUUCCUAUUGUAAACCUUGUAAGUUCUUCGGCUUCUUGCCAUCUUUUGAAAGGAAUUAGUUUGAAAUGUUUGGGGUUAAUUAUUAGUUCUUCGGCUUCUAUUACCAAUUUUCUAUGGUUGCAACUGGGCACCAUUUUUUUAAGAUGACUUUCUAUUCCUGUGAUGGGUUCAUAUCUUGAACUCGUAGGAGGUGAGUCUCAGGUAUGACGGGUUGGAAAAUAUGCACCCGUCAAAGGUGUCUACCUGUGACGGGUUGCAACUACACAUUGGCUUGUGGAGAUCCUCACCUUUGACGGGCCGGAAAAUACGGACCCGUCAGAGGUGAGUGUGCCUCUGAUGGGCCG
Molecule: long non-coding RNA, 1308 nt
Filed under: Oryza sativa (Asian cultivated rice)
Lineage: Eukaryota; Viridiplantae; Streptophyta; Magnoliopsida; Poales; Poaceae
Description: long non-coding RNA (OSAT_LNC001992)
Source: RNAcentral